This 266-nucleotide unclassified non-coding RNA is filed under the name fungal sp. Its description in RNAcentral is "partial internal transcribed spacer region". The record is from RNAcentral. Lineage: Eukaryota; Fungi.
CGCGCGCCGAUUUUUUCCGCAAGCCGGCCUGCACGGGGUGAGAGGACGAGCAGCAACGCAUUCACCGGAAGAAGCGAGGCACCAGCUGACAACGCGCUGUAGCGAAGUCCAUUCUGCAGCUGCAGCAUGAGGAGGAAGAACAAUCCGUUGAGCGCUGCGUAGACGAGAAGCGUAUUGACGUUGGCACCCACAAACUGUCGUGACUGGAAAACAUCCAGUGGAAGCAGUGGAUUGCCGACCUUCGACUCCACAAUGAAGAACGCAGC